Long non-coding RNA from Sorex fumeus (smoky shrew), 329 nucleotides. RefSeq lists it as uncharacterized. The transcript is spliced from 2 exons. Lineage: Eukaryota; Metazoa; Chordata; Mammalia; Eulipotyphla; Soricidae. The record is from RefSeq and is a predicted model, not a curated record.
CUGAAAACGGUCCAAACUCCCACUGGGCCAUUCCUUUGGAAUGCUGGUUGAAACUCUGCUGAUUUACAACCGGAAAGAAACCACGCACAACUCAAGUCAUUGUAGCUAUAGCCAUUCAACGAACUACCUUUCGCCCAAGACAAAUCGACUCAGAAGGCAUCUUUGUCAGCAUUACAAAACCAGUGCAUUCUUUUAUGACUUUUUUAUUAUUUCCCUUGUCAUGUGUUGUCAUUGGGGAAGGAAAAACAAAAUUCAUGCUCUGUUUCUGUUUCCUCUUAUGCCCUUAUCAAGGGAUCGAAAGCUUGGAAUUAAAGGAAGAGGAGGUUCAA